RNAcentral lists this long non-coding RNA (715 nucleotides) under Homo sapiens (human). RNAcentral's name for it is "HSALNT0315075". The record is from RNAcentral. Lineage: Eukaryota; Metazoa; Chordata; Mammalia; Primates; Hominidae.
UUCCUGCCCUCAAACAUCAGACUCCAAGUUCUUCAGUUUUGGGACUCGGACUGGCAUCCUUGCUCCUCAGGUUGCAGACGGCAUAUUGUGGGACCUCACCUUGUGACCAUAGUAAACAUAGAAAUGAAGAUAAUGCAUGGCAAGAUCUCCAAAUAACCCAGGAAGCAUCAAAAAAGAAAAAACAAAACAAACUGAAGUUGACCUGGCCUCACAGUGACCAGAUUAUCAUACCUGAGUAUGGUUCAGGCCCCAGGGCUCUGAGGAAACAAGAGUACUAUAUCAUAGACUCAGUAACAAGAGUUAAAUGUGCUUCCUUCUCAUAACUCCAGCAAUUGCCAUGCUCUGAUUAAUAUUUUUGUGACUAUCUCUACUGCUACUCUUUCCUGCUCUGAGUUGGCUUUUCUUACAUGGCCAAAUUUCUGAGAGAGAAGUUGGGUUUGGUAAGUCACUCUUUAGAUAGAGCCACCUGUAGAUUGGAUAUCCUUGGAUAAGAUGCCCAUCCACUUAGUAUCUGCCAAAGAGAAGACUGAAAUUUGGGGAUCAUGCAGUCACAACACGAAAAAAAUUUGCAGAAGGAAUUUUGUAGAUGGAGACUGUGCAUAGAAAUUGGGGCAGAAGACGUAGCAGGUUAUCUGAGACUUAGCCUAUACGGGACACAAAAAUUUUUAAAAAUAGCUGAGAUAUUGAAAAUAAAAGUGAUAAUUUAAAAUAAUUA